Cyprinus carpio carpio is the source of this 4764-nucleotide long non-coding RNA. NCBI's taxonomy places the organism in Eukaryota, Metazoa, Chordata, Actinopteri, Cypriniformes, Cyprinidae. The record is from Ensembl.
CACGUCCUUCAUCAAGCACAUCCUCUCUGGGUGAGCCGGAGCUGCAAAGAUUGCUGAAUGAAACUGGAACUCUAAAUGGCAACUGUCAAAACACUGAAAGAAAAUAUGUCUUGUCUGUAUGUCUUGGAAAGCAUCAAAUAAAAACCAUCCAAAUUUAAAAAAUGUUGUUAGGAUGUUAAUUAUUUAUAAUGUAGGCCUACGUAAAAUGUAGUUUUUAAAGACGUUUAUCAGAUGUUUGUACCCAGCAGGGUGAAUGUGAUUUAAGUGUGUGUACGUUUUAAGUAGAAGUUUUAAGUAAAAAUUCAAAAGAAGUAACUAAUCAGAGAUUAUGCAAUUUCCAACACAGCCAUCGUGUCCAACAGCACUACUUUUCACUGUUUGUAUCACUGCGCUUGUCUAUUUUUGUGGGGGGCGGCGACAGUGUACUGCCUAAAAUGAAAUUACAUAAGCGGUUUCCAUAACUGCUCCAAAUUCAAAAAUGAAACUAAAAUUAAAUCAUCUUUGAGAGCAAGGAGGCCCCCUGGUGUUCACGCAAAGUAAGAAGGCGUACCUUUUAUUCUCGUUGUAGUAUUGUUGUUGCUGCUGCCGCCAUGUCAUAUAGUGUGUUUCACUGUGAAAGCGAAACUACUUUGUUUGGCCUUCCAAAAGAGGAUGAUAUCCGCUUCGUCAUGCCUGGAGCUGAUCUGUGCUGGUCGCUGAGGAAAUACAUCAACUUCGCACUGUGGAUCGACAAAUCGGCUUUCACUGUGGACGAAGUGGAGUCCAGCCCGGGGUCGUCACAUGUGGUUGCCGCAAGCACAAGCUUUGGCAGUUUGAAGCUCACUGGAUUUUCCCCAUCUAUGCUCAAUCAGGAGAGCAAAAACAGAACCACAGGCAAGUCCAAGGAAGGAUUUUAUUUCAUUGUUUAUGAGAGGAGAGUUUGUUUAUGGUGACAGGUAAUGCCCUGGCAAGCCCGGUUGACACCACAUCUGUACUUCCCCUCUGUUACAUCCCAAACAAACCCAGGGAAAGCAGCCACCCAUCAAUCAGAUACUCAUUCCUGUCACCACACACAUUAUGUCUAUCAGGCAUGUGUCCUUUUCCAUUUUCAUAUGCCACAUCUCUCAUGUUAAAUAUCCUGUGAGUCAUUUAGUGUAUUUCGCUUCUAGGUGGCCAGUUUUCCAAAGUGUGAGAUGAAACCUCAGAGUUUGAUAGAGUUUGUUGAAUGGUUUGGAUGAAAAUGUCAUUUUGACAGGCCUCUCGGAUUUGAACAUCAUAGAUUGAUUCUUUAGGUUCGACUAUAGGCCCAGAAGUGAAUCUAUCCCACACAGGAUAAAGGCUGUUUUCUUUGGCAGGACUGAGCUGUAACCAUCUUUGUCUCUUUUCAUCCCUAGAAGACAAAGUAUGUUUUAUUUUAGAGACGUGUAUGGUUGUUUUUAUACAUUCUUUCAGGACAUAAAGACCACUGACAGAGAUAACAGUUUUAGUUGAGUUCGGAUCCAAAGACAACGUCUGCCCAGCUAAUGACUCUUUUUGUGCAUGCAUGUGGAUAUAGGUUCACACUGGGACGUACACAUGGCAGUCGAGUUUAAGUUCACAAGAAACCAAUGGACGUGAAACUGUAGUCGAUUCUGGGGGUAGUUGAUCUCGAGAGAACGUUUGGCACAUGAUCAAGGAAGCGUGGCCUUAAAGACUGAGCUUGAGCAUCUUUAUUAUCUCAAACAACAGUUUAUUAUUCAUUGAUGUCCAGACGUAUAUUUUAUUCUUUAAGUCUGGAGCGCACGGGUUCACUGAGAAAUAACAAAAGGAUCCUUAUGUGGAGACCUCUCGCAGGCGAGACUUCCUCCUCAGACGGCCCCAAUAGAGACGUGAGGUGAUGGGCUUAGAUUCAGCGUCGUGCAAAUAUCAUCCUAAAUGUCAGAGAACUAAGAGUGCUAAGGAAGACUGAUCUCUGAAGCUUACAGUGGGAGAGGGACAUCAAAAGAUAUAAGGUAUAAGAUAUUUCAAAAUAGACUCCUUUUCUAGUCAUCAGUCGUUGUUGUAUUUCACUCACACAUUAAAUGCUCAUCCUAUAGCUAGUAUGAAUUAGGCAUGAGCCUCACUCUCUGUCUCUUUGUAGUAUUAGCGUUUUGAUAUUUAAAAUUCGAUUUUAAAAAUGUAACUUUCUGCUUUCACUUAAAUUUGAAAGUUUUAGUAAUUUUGUUGUGUUUUUUGUAAUAACGUAACUAAUUUUAUUAUUUUUUAGUUUUAAUUUAAAUUUAUUUUAACACUCCAAGGUAAACUAAAUAAAAAUGACAAAUGGUGACAUGGCAACUUUUUUAAUAAUAAUAAUAUGUUUAAUUUAUUUAGCACCUUUCCCAAGCUCAAGUAUACUUCACAAUGACAAUAGCAAGAAACAAUCAUUUCAUACAUAGAAGGACAAUAGACAUUUGCCAAGUCCAAGACAUUGCAGUGAUUGCAGUUGCCUAUCACAGUAGUAGCGCAAACAGUCAAAUACAGCAAACAAUCAAAUACAGCAGAGAGCCAUAAUAGUUUAAGAAAAAAACAUAUUGUAACUGGUUCAACAGAUAGGUUUUGAGUUUAGACUUAAAUUCAUGCAGUGUGGUUAUUGUCCGAAGAGCAAUGAAUUCCACAGUUUUGGAGCCAAACAGAGAAAGAUCUGCAUCCCAUAGAUUAUGGGCGAAAUCUCGGAAAUUAAAUGACCAUUUAUUUUAUUUCAAGUAGCAAAAAUGUUUAUGGUUUUAGCAGUGAAUAAUAUAGAUUUUGUGGAGAGUUUCCACAAAAAAGUUAAGCAGCAGAAUGGUUUUCAUCAUCGAUAAUACUAACAAUGUUUCUUGAGCACCAAAUCAGCAUAUUAUAAUGAUUUCGGAAGGAUUGUCAGAAAUGUGACACUGUAAACUGAAGUAUUGUCUGCUGAAAAUUCAGCUUUGCCAUCACUGGAAUAAAUAACACUUUGAAAUAAAAAAGAAAACAGAUAUUUUAAAUUGUAAUUAUAUAAAUUUGAUUAUGUACUGUAUGUAAUGUUUUUUUAUAUAUAUAUUGUAAAUUCAGCCAUGGUGAGCAUAAGCUCAUACUCUUUUGAACAUUAAUAUAUACAAUUCAUAUUGUUCCAAAGCUGGUUUAACUCUCGAAGAUUGUUAGAUAGAGAGAGAAAGCUUGGAAGAAAUCAAAACCUCCUUACAAUAUGUUGAUCUUAUUAAUUAAUUCAUGUCUUAAAUGUCUUUUGACAUUAUAUCUUAAAUGUAUAUACUGUAUAUUUGACAUGCAUAUUUAUGACAUUUAGCAUAUUUGACAUAAAUAAUCAAAAUAUAAUGUCAAAAGUCAUUAUAAGAGCUAAGUGUAUUUAAACGUCUUAAAUACCUCCUUAGUGUUUUUAAAAGAAAUGCCUUUUGGGCCCCUUUGACUGAGAAAAUGAGGAGAGGAUGUUCCCAGCAUACCUUAAUCAGUACCAUUGAGGUAUCUCAGUGCACAAGCCCUCAAAUCUGCACUGAAUCUUCCUCACUGAUGGGGGAUGGGUCAGUUACAGAUGACAUCAUCGGCUGGAGUUGUGUGCUGUGCUUGUGUGUUGCAGAGAUUUUGCAGUCUUGUAAGAAGGACGAAGUCUCUCUCUGAUGACCACGUGAGGACUGACUUGCAGCCACAUUUGACAGUUAGUAUCAUGAUACAUACAAGAACAAACAUGCAUUUGCACUUUGAAAAUGCACAUGUUUGGUGUUAAAAUUGAUGUGAUGGCAUGCGAUAUCACUAGAGGGCAUUAUUACCCCAACACUUACUGUAUAUGUGUAUGCUCUUCUUUAUUAAAGCAACAUACAACAGAAUACAGAAAGUGUGUUUACAGCCUAAACUGGUAGCUAGGAAAGUACAAAAACACUAAGGCUGAUCCUCAAAAAGAUGCUAAAAUGUCAAUACCAGACAAUUGUUAGAACAUCACUAGGGGGCAUCGAUAUCAAAAUAUUUCUGUCUCUACAUAACAUCUGGGAUUGUGCAAUAUCCAUUCUGUAACAUAUUUUCUGCAGUAGUUCUGGCGUCUGGUCACCAGAAUUAAAAUGACUGAACCAAGAUGUUUAGUCAGGCUGGACUACCAUGCCUUCAUUGCCUUCCCAUUGAGAUUUACAGUUUCCUAGCAGACCCAUCUGGUCAUGACCUACAUAUAUCCACUUUCAUAUAUAUGGAACUCGCUAGGACUCAUUGUAUGAUGAUUGAGAAGCUAUAUUCAAACCCUGAGGAAAUUAUGACCAGCCAAUUGAUAAAAGCCACACCGAGCGCAAUGAAUCAAGCGUAUAAAGACAGCACAGAGCGAUGGUUGAAGUCAGUCAGAUUCAGAGGCUAGUGUUGCUCCUGUGGGGAGAUGAGCGGUUCGGCAGGCUGACUUUAUGCACAAUGACAUGGCCACAGGAACCUGCCAGAGUCCAUUAAAAUCUUCCCCAGUCAGGUGUCUCCUCUGCUUCUCUACACACAGUCCUCCAGCUCACCGCCAAUGCACUCUGCUCCUAGAACAAUCAAUAUGUUAGGUUACCGUCCAGAAUGGAACAGGUUGCUCCAGCCUGCUGUGCCAUUUCAGCAGGUUUGGGUGGAGGUCAAAGUCAGUUCUUAAACAGAUAUUAUGGUGCAGCUGCUUCCUUGAGCUUCCUGCACUUGAGGGAAUGAUAGAUAAACAAGCUUUGUUUUAUAAUAAAGUUUAUGUUGAAUCUCUUUUGCGUGACAUAUAUGGCAGCUUUAAGCACCUCAAAUGUGGACUCAUAGGCAAUUUUAGUGUUUUUGUGGAGUAAUUCAUCACUUUUUAUU